AUGCACACACUGACUGUGGCUUCCUUAGCGCAUAGGUAAGGGAAUUGCCUUUCCCUCUUUUGUGAAUUUUCUCAUUUCUGAAAAAUUCUAAGUCAUGAAGAUAAGCCCCAUCCUUUCUUACAAGGAUUGGAUUUCUUGGGUGACACUGUGGUGUGGUGGAAGCAAGCGGCUUCUCUCAGGUUCAUAAAGGCCAUCAUAACAACUUCAGGCUUCAUGGUGUGGACAGGGAUCCAGGACAGCUGAGUGGAUGUGUGAAGUUUCUGAUAGAUUCUGUCAUCAUUCUAAAGGAAUGUAGUUUCCUCCAGCUCAAUCAUUUGAAGUAAUACACAUUGCCAAAUAUGACUCUAACCUGACAUUUUAGACCUAUUGAAGAAAUAGGAAGAAAGCCCCUCCAGUGGAAGGACUGGACUUGGAAGAAGUUCUGCAGGAAGGUACAUGCAAUUGGAUAGCUGUUCAUGAGUGAAACGUGGGGAACAUUGCUAUGAAAUUGUAAGGUUUGCACUUCAUUUUUCAUAGUUUAAAAAUUGCUCUGUUCUGGCUGUUGAAAACACUUGGUGUGAGGUUUGAAUUGAGGAUUAUAUAAUCAUUCUAGUAUUCAUAGGAAAAUGAUUACUGCCCUCCAUUUGUAAAACAAAAGAAAUAACUUUCGGAAACAGUAUUUUAGACAUGAAGAAAUUGUUUGUAUUAUGUUAGGCAUUUUGAUCUAACAGAAUCAGCUAAGGAUAGUGGAUCCUGGCUUUACACAUUUCUUUGACCAAACCCAGCUGGCAACUUGAAGUUGUUAUUGUGUGGCUUCCAGGUUGCCUAGAGGUGAAUCCUACCAACAUCACUGUUUUUUUGUUUUGUUUUGUUUUGUUUUUGAGACAGAGUCUUGCUCUGUCCCCAGGCUGGAGUGCAGUGGCGUGAUCUCGGCUCACUGCAGCCUCAGCCUCCUGGGUUCAAGCGAUUCUCCUGCCUCGGCCUCCCGAGUAGUUGAGACUACAGGCGCGUGCCACCACGUCCAGCUAAUUUUUGUAUUUUUAGUAGAGACGAGGUUUCACCAUGUUGGCCAGGAUGGUCUCGAUCUCUUGACCUCGUGUUCUGCCCGUCUCUGCCUCCCAAAGUGCUGGGAUUACAGGUGUGAGCUGCUGUGCCCGGCCCCAGCAUCACUUUCAUAGCUUUCUGUCCCUCCUCCUCUGGGCCUCGGUGUAUGAAGCCACUUGCCUUUCUCUGUAGGGAAGCGAGCAGAAUCAGAUUGCUACUCAUGAUGCAGUCUGGGCAGGGCAUACUGUCACCUUUGCCUGUGGACACAGUUGUCAGGAUAGGGGAGAAGCCCUUUAGGUCUGUCUUCUUGACACAGCCCUCCUACCUGGUUACGCUGGUGCUUUCACUUGGUUUAGACAACCAAGACACUUGAGAAUUAUGCUGUCCUCAGAAUGUCUGAUGAAAAGAACAGAUACACUUUUUUGACAAAAUGCCCAUUAGCCAUCUUUGGCAGUGUCUCUAAUCAAAGGUUCCCCAUGCCUGCUCUAGGAAAGUAAACUUUUUUCAGAAUAAAUCCUCAAAUGGAUUACUGAGUAGUCUUUGCACCAUUCCCAUCAGCCUAAUCAGACUGAAUGGUCACGCUCAGUGCAAAAAGCUGUUUUGCUGUCAGGAUGUUUCAGUGUUUCUGGUCUUUCCUGGAACAGUUCAGUUGUUUAAAUUUAGUAAUUCAAUCCUGACCAGUGUAAACCCACUUAAUUAUUGCAGCCUAAAGAAUUCAGCUCCUUCUACUCUUCAUAAAUGUGCCCAAGUAAAUAUGUGUUUUUAAUAUUCAACCCUGGAAAGUUAGUAAUUCAGAUGAUAAAAGCUCAUAAUGUUUUGGUGUCUUUGUACUCAGAUUGUGAACAGGCAUAUUUCACUGAUUUAGACUUAGUAUACUUGAUGAGAAUGCUCAGGUUGAAGAGAUAGUUCUGUCAGCAAUCCAACAUCUAUAGCAAUGUGGAAAAAGUAAUCAACUCAUAUUUCACUAAUUUGAUGUAUGUUGUGAUUUAGAGGGCGUGAGAUAAAGUUUAUAUUUGAACUGUGUGGGGUAGGGGGAAGAAGAGAUUGCUUAAGCAAAUAGUGGAGUGAUUGUGGAACAAGAUGUCUCUAAGAUGAGAAGUUAUUUUCUUGCACCAUAGAAGCACUCUUUUUACCCGGGAGUGAUUGUGUUAACUAUAAAUCAUUUAUAUCUGUACAUUAAAGCAGAUUCCCUCAAUUAGGCAAAUUUGGUUAGCCAAGCCCAAGUUAUUGUUUGUACUUGAAAGUAAUAAAGCUGCAUUUCC
This 2285-nucleotide long non-coding RNA is filed under the name Pongo abelii (Sumatran orangutan). RNAcentral's name for it is "lncRNA (ENSPPYG00000034236.1)". Lineage: Eukaryota; Metazoa; Chordata; Mammalia; Primates; Hominidae. The record is from RNAcentral.